This 253-nucleotide ribosomal RNA is filed under the name uncultured bacterium. RNAcentral describes it as "partial 16S ribosomal RNA". It matches the Rfam family "Bacterial small subunit ribosomal RNA", at positions 524 to 776 of the family's 1533-position model. The record is from RNAcentral.
UACGAAGGAUUCGAGCGUUAUCCGGAUUUAUUGGGUUUAAAGGGUGCGUAGGUGGUCUAAUAAGUCAGUGGUGAAAGCCCGCAGCUUAACUGCGGAACUGCCAUUGAUACUGUUAGUCUUGAGUACAGUUGAGGUGGGCGGAAUGUGUCAUGUAGCGGUGAAAUGCUUAGAUAUGACACAGAACACCGAUUGCGAAGGCAGCUCACUAAGCUGUAACUGACACUGAGGCACGAAAGCGUGGGGAGCAAACAGG